RNAcentral lists this long non-coding RNA (228 nucleotides) under Erythranthe guttata (spotted monkey flower). RNAcentral's name for it is "long non-coding RNA (EGUT_LNC003310)". The record is from RNAcentral. Lineage: Eukaryota; Viridiplantae; Streptophyta; Magnoliopsida; Lamiales; Phrymaceae.
AUUAAUUCAUCAAAUACACAAAAGCAUUAAACAACUCAAAUUUUAUAUCCUUAAGUUAAAUCACCCAACGAUGAAAAUAAAUUAUCCAAAUAUGAAAUUAAAGUACAAAAAAAGUUACUGUUGUAGGCUAGCAUUAGAAAUACAAGAUCAGUUGAUCUUCAAUUUCCUCAUUCAUCUUCAUAAUAGUUAGUUGCCGGCGACACAGGAAUUUUGUUGCCCAUUCUCAUU